AUGAUGGCGAGGCAACUGUCGCUGCGCCGGAACCUCACCGUCCCUCCCGUGGCUGGGGGAUCCGACAUCGACGGAUCUCACAGAAUGAUGACACGAGCGCGAUGCCGGCGGCUUUGCCUCCUGGCAGAAUCAUCCGAGCGCGAGCAAUUGGGCGGUCUUGGCGCGGAUUGGGCCAACUUGCUUCCUCUGGACCUUGUCGAGGAGAUCUCUAGCCGGCUACUCUCCCUCUACGUGGCCGAGUACCUCCGCUUCCGUGCCGUGUGCAGCCCGUGGCAUGGACUUACAGCCGACCCGCGCGCAGCAGGGCUCCUUGACAGUCGUUUCCGCCCCCGCAACUGGAUAGUGCUCUCCAUCAUGCCUGGCGUCGAGCCCCGUCGCCGCCUCCUCAACCUGGCCAACGCGGCCUCUCUCGGCGUCCACCUCUCGGCGCUCUCCACCCACUGCCAUGUCUGUGCCGCCAGCGGCCUCCUCGUCCUCUUCCACAAGCCUACCAAGACCAUGCGCCUCCUCGACCCACUCACCAAUGCCCUCACCGUGUUCCCAGUCGUCUCCAGCAUCGUUGUCCCCCCUAUAGUGAAGAUAACCUCCUGCCAGUGUUGA
This 600-nucleotide ribosomal RNA is filed under the name Triticum aestivum (bread wheat). Its description in RNAcentral is "partial small subunit ribosomal RNA". Lineage: Eukaryota; Viridiplantae; Streptophyta; Magnoliopsida; Poales; Poaceae. The record is from RNAcentral.